UGCCAGCAGCCGCGGUAAUACGAAGGGGGCUAGCGUUGUUCGGAAUUACUGGGCGUAAAGCGUACGUAGGCGGAUUAUUAAGUCAGAUGUGAAAUCCCGAGGCUCAACCUCGGAACUGCAUUUGAAACUGGUAAUCUAGAGAUCAGGAGAGGUUAGUGGAAUACCGAGUGUAGAGGUGAAAUUCGUAGAUAUUCGGUGGAACACCAGUGGCGAAGGCGACUAACUGGACUGAUACUGACGCUGAGGUACGAAAGUGUGGGGAGCAAACAGGAUUAGAUA
RNAcentral lists this ribosomal RNA (279 nucleotides) under uncultured bacterium. Its description in RNAcentral is "partial 16S ribosomal RNA". It matches the Rfam family "Bacterial small subunit ribosomal RNA", at positions 506 to 784 of the family's 1533-position model. The record is from RNAcentral.